Molecule: ribosomal RNA, 450 nt
Filed under: uncultured bacterium
Lineage: Bacteria
Description: partial 16S ribosomal RNA
Rfam family: Bacterial small subunit ribosomal RNA
Source: RNAcentral
GUGGGGAAUAUUGGACAAUGGGCGCAAGCCUGAUCCAGCCAUACCGCGUGGGUGAAGAAGGCCUUCGGGUUGUAAAGCCCUUUUGUUGGGAAAGAAAUCCUGUCGGUUAAUACCUGGCGGGGAUGACGGUACCCAAAGCAUAAGCACCGGCUAAAUUCGUGCCAGCAGCCGCCGUAAUACGAAGGGUGCAAGCGUUACUCCGAAUUACUGGGCCUAAAGCGUGCGUAGGUGGUGGUUUAAGUUCUUUGUGAAAGCCCUGGGGUCAACCUGGGAAGUGCAGUGGAUACUGGAUGACUAGAGUGUGGUAGAGGGAAGCGGAAUUUCAGGUGUAGCAGUGAAAUGCGUAGAGAUCAGAAGGAACAUCCGUGGCGAAGGCGGCAUCCUGGGCCAACACUGACACUGAGGCACGAAAGCGUGGGGAGCAAACAGGAUUAGAAACCCCAGUAGUCC